This 292-nucleotide ribosomal RNA is filed under the name uncultured bacterium. Its description in RNAcentral is "partial 16S ribosomal RNA". It matches the Rfam family "Bacterial small subunit ribosomal RNA", at positions 505 to 796 of the family's 1533-position model. The record is from RNAcentral.
GUGUCAGCCGCCGCGGUAAUACGUAGGGUGCAAGCGUUAAUCGGAAUUACUGGGCGUAAAGCGUGCGCAGGCGGUUAUGCAAGACAGAUGUGAAAUCCCCGGGCUCAACCUGGGAACUGCAUUUGUGACUGCAUAGCUAGAGUACGGUAGAGGGGGAUGGAAUUCCGCGUGUAGCAGUGAAAUGCGUAGAUAUGCGGAGGAACACCGAUGGCGAAGGCAAUCCCCUGGACCUGUACUGACGCUCAUGCACGAAAGCGUGGGGAGCAAACAGGAUUAGAUACCCGCGUAGUCC